RNAcentral lists this long non-coding RNA (231 nucleotides) under Sorghum bicolor (sorghum). RNAcentral describes it as "long non-coding RNA (SBIC_LNC005683)". Lineage: Eukaryota; Viridiplantae; Streptophyta; Magnoliopsida; Poales; Poaceae. The record is from RNAcentral.
ACCAGGUCCGGGCGCACGGUGGCGGCGGGGUCGGCCUGCGGGGACACCAUCAGCGGGGGGGCGCCCAGCGGCAGGCGGUCGCCGCGGUCCACCUGCCAGGUGCACCAGAACUUGCCGAACGUGGUGGCCAGGUGGUCCAGCUCCGCCUUCUCCAGCGGCACCGGCAUGUGCGGGCUCGUCCACAGGCCUGACCUGAUCUCGUGCGCGUGCGAGUGCCACAGCCGCUGCUCC